RNAcentral lists this long non-coding RNA (1346 nucleotides) under Pan troglodytes (chimpanzee). Its description in RNAcentral is "long non-coding RNA NONPTRT003882". Lineage: Eukaryota; Metazoa; Chordata; Mammalia; Primates; Hominidae. The record is from RNAcentral.
GCCGCCGGCCUCUUAAAGGAGCCCGCUGCUGCCAUCCGGCGCGCUCCAGGCUCGUACCUGGCCCGCCUGGGCCCCGCGCCUCCCUGCUGGCGGUGUCCUAUGGAGGUCCCACCUCAGGCCUCAGGCUGAUUCCACAGGAACCCCCUAUGACCCGUCUUAUAGACUCCUUUCUACAUCGGAGAGAGCAGCCCCUCAGUUGGGAUCCCUAGCGCUCUGGCAUUGCUCCCCCUAUCAUACCGAUCUUGCCAGCUCUCCUUCCCUUGAUUGUCACCACUCACUCCAAUUUCACCCACUUGGAAUUCACUCGGCUCUAGGCCCCAUCCUCCUCCAGUGUUCCUGGAUGACCCCUCAUUAUCAUUUCAAGAUUCCUCUGGACCUCCAACCCCGGCUCAGAGUCACAAGAUUUCCCUCAGCCCAGUGGUUGUGCAACUUUGGGGGAGGAGGCAAUGGGGCUCUAGGACUAAACAAUGCGCGUCUGCUCAACACCCAGAUCAGUUGAUUAAUCUUAGGCGGCCAAAAUUCACUUUUGCUCUCUUCAGCUGAGAGACCCAAGACUCAUGGAAGAGGGAACAAGACCACCAGGUGCCUAGUCCUUCUAAUCCUGUCGUCCCACAUUACAGCCUGAUUAUCAGGCCCCAGAGGUUUCCUCGCCAGUUAAAGAGAGGUUCACUAGAGCGGUUCUAAAAAGGUUUCACAAAAGAAGCAACACCUGAAGGGAGGUGAAGGACGACCUAGGAAAAGGAAGCAAGUUCUGUGUCACGGAGGCCCAAGGGCAAGGGGCUUAGGCUGUGGGUUGAGGGGACUGUCUGAGACGGACUUAAACCUGCACCAGCUCCAGAGCCCUGCGGAAACAGAGAUCGGUCCCCUCCGGCGUCUAGUCGAAGUAACCAAUCUCAGUGCACCUAGGGGAAGUAAUCGCAAUGGGAGUAACCAAUGACGCCAUGAAGCUUCUCGUGCGUGCUUGACCCUGCCUCUCCAGCUGCGACAAAGAUGGCGCGCGGGCUCUUGGGUUCUGUAGUUUUCUCGCGAUCCAAAAGGCUCCGUGCCCAAGUGAGUCCUUACCGCCUCCCUACCCAGCGGCUUCCCCUCCGCUAGUACGCAUGUCCACAGCCUCACGGACCGGGAGAGAGGGGGCGCAGAAGGAAGGAGGCGGGACGGUAUUACAAACAAAAAAAUACGGCCUUCUCGAGAAGCGACGGCGGAGGGCCCGCUCCUCCCAGAAGGCGGUGCAGCCUGCCCGGGCGAGCCACGCACGCAGAGGGUUGUGGGGCGGAUAGCUCCUCUCCAGAUGGAGGCUCAUGAAGUAGGGUGGGCGGGGGACUCCAUAUCCCAGCGUGCCCCGCGGC